This 758-nucleotide ribosomal RNA is filed under the name uncultured soil bacterium. Its description in RNAcentral is "bacterial SSU rRNA". It matches the Rfam family "Bacterial small subunit ribosomal RNA", at positions 32 to 769 of the family's 1533-position model. The record is from RNAcentral.
AACGCUGGCGGCGUGCCUCAGACAUGCAAGUCGAACGCGAAAGCCCCCUUCGGGGGGCAAGUAGAGUGGCGCACGGGUGAGUAACACGUAGGUAAUCUACCUUCGGAUGGGGAAUAACAACCGGAAACGGUUGCUAAUACCGCAUAAUGCAGCGGCACCUAAUGGUGACUGUUGUUAAAGCGGGGAUCGAAAGACCUCGCGUCUGAAGAGGAGCCUGCGGCGGAUUAGCUAGUUGGUAGGGUAACGGCUUACCAAGGCAACGAUCCGUAGCCGGCCUGAGAGGGCGGUCGGCCACACUGACACUGACAUACGGGUCAGACUCCUACGGGAGGCAGCAGUCGGGAAUUUUGGGCAAUGGGCGAAAGCCUGACCCAGCAACGCCGCGUGAAGGAUGAAAUCCCUCGGGAUGUAAACUUCGCAAGAACGGGAAGAAUAAGUAGGGGACAAUACCCCCUAUGAUGACGGUACCGUUUGUAAGCUCCGGCUAACUCCGUGCCAGCAGCCGCGGUAAUACGGGGGGAGCAAGCGUUGUUCGGAUUUACUGGGCGUAAAGGGCGCGUAGGCGGCCACCGCAAGUCAAUUGUGAAAUCUCCGGGCUUAACUCGGAAAGGUCAACUGAUACUGCGGGGCUAGAGUGCGGAAGGGGCAACUGGAAUUCUCGGUGUAGCGGUGAAAUGCGUAGAUAUCGAGAGGAACACCUGCGGCGAAGGCGGGUUGCUGGGCCGACACUGACGCUGAGGCGCGAAAGCCAGGGGAGC